RNAcentral lists this long non-coding RNA (901 nucleotides) under Olea europaea (common olive). RNAcentral's name for it is "long non-coding RNA (OEUR_LNC000906)". The record is from RNAcentral. Lineage: Eukaryota; Viridiplantae; Streptophyta; Magnoliopsida; Lamiales; Oleaceae.
UAAACUAAAUUUCUUGUCUUUAACUAAAAAAAUAAAAAAAAAUAGGGUUCAUCUCAUCCAAUAUAUGAAAGGAAUUAACUUAACAUGACGUUGGAAUUAAACACAUAAAAGAGGAAAGAGAUCACAAAAAAUUGACGAAACAUUAUAAAAUUUUCCAAUUUUCAGCCCAAUUUAGCCGCUGCCUUUAUUGAUAGAGAAGUCUAUUUCCAGUCUCUUUCGCAAUUUCUGUUGUCCGGGAUGUAUUAGUAUGCGUUCCAGCAGCAGCCACCAAAUUUCCUCCAGCCUUUCUUCUCUUAUUGCAUGUGUGUCUCUCCCAGCUGCCGUCUUUUAAGGUAUAUAUAAUCAAUUCCCCAAGACAGCCUUUUCCAUGUGUGUUUAAUCGUCAAUUUAUCCUUUUCUUUUUCAAUUGCUUCAAAACUGGUCGAACACUUAAACGAGCAAAAAUUAAUCUAAAUUAAAUAAAAUUCAAUAAUUUGACGACAUAAAGAUUUAAUAAAAUGAUCUAAUUAAGUAUACAAAUUGCACUCAUCACGCUUGUUGCAAUUAAUUCAUUAAUGAGGCAAGUAAGGUUUCAGAGCCUGCAAUUAAUUCAUUAAUGAGGAGAACUGAUAAUCUUUACCUAGAAGUGAAAUUGUGAAGGAAUCUUGUGAGUGAAAAGAUGAAUAUGGUUUCCCCGACUUUGAAGAAGUUGAAACUUUGAUUUUCUUCUGUGGAGUAUCUUAUUGACACCACAACCUUCACUCCAAGAGGUGCUUUCAAUAACUUGGAGCUCUGGGAUUUACGCAGCCCAAGUCAGCUGAUAGAGAUAUUCAGUGGAAAUCUUCCUCCCGGGUCCUUAACUAAAUUAGAAGAGGUAUAUCUAAAGGGCCUAACAGCAAUGAAAUUUUUGUGGAGCUGAAAG